RNAcentral lists this transfer RNA (74 nucleotides) under Candidatus Woesearchaeota archaeon. RNAcentral describes it as "tRNA-Ile". It matches the Rfam family "tRNA". Rfam says of the family: Transfer RNA (tRNA) molecules are approximately 80 nucleotides in length. Their secondary structure includes four short double-helical elements and three loops (D, anti-codon, and T loops). Lineage: Archaea; Nanobdellati; Candidatus Woesearchaeota. The record is from RNAcentral.
GGCCCCAUAGCUUACCCUGGUGGAGCGCCAGUCUUAUAAGCUGGAGGUUCCGGGUUCAAAUCCCGGUGGGGCCA